Molecule: unclassified non-coding RNA, 234 nt
Filed under: plant metagenome
Description: partial contains small subunit ribosomal RNA, internal transcribed spacer 1, and 5.8S ribosomal RNA
Source: RNAcentral
UUUCCGUAGGUGAACCUGCGGAAGGAUCAUUAAUGUGUUUGGGCCUCACGGCUCUUCAUUCCGACGCUGUGCGCCUUCGGGCUGCACGCUGAGGGAGCAUAUAUCCACCCCUGUGCACACACACGGUGGCGAGCUGGGUAACGGCUCGCCGCUGAUCUUUACACACGUCUAAAAGUCAUUGUAUGUUUAUUUGAGAUAAUAACACAACUUUCAGCAACGGAUCUCUUGGCUCUC